AGAUACCCUGUUACUUAUAAUUAAAAAAUUUUGGAAUAGUAAUAAUAAUGAAAUUUAACGGAUUUGGCGGCAAGAUAGCCAUUUAGAGGAACCUGCCCUGUAAACGAUGAACCACGAAAUACUUUACUUUUAUUUGUUAUCAGUUUGUAUACCGCUGUUGUCAGUCAGUUUUUCUAGAAAUCUUUCUACUAUGAUAAAAUCAAAUACUUCAAGUAAAGGUGCAGCUUAUGUAAAAGAUAGAGGUGGGUUACAUUUAUGAAGAUUAAAACGAAUAAAGAUUUUUUGAAAAAUACUUUUGAAGGUGGAUUUAAAUGUAAAGUUUAAAAAAACU
This 331-nucleotide ribosomal RNA is filed under the name Trevathana longidonta. RNAcentral describes it as "partial 12S ribosomal RNA". Lineage: Eukaryota; Metazoa; Arthropoda; Thecostraca; Balanomorpha; Pyrgomatidae. The record is from RNAcentral.